GUAGUUAGCCGUGGCUUCCUCCUCAGGUACCGUCAUUAUCGUCCCUGAAGACAUAGUUUUACAAUCCGAAGACCGUCAUCACUCACGCGGCGUUGCUGCAUCAGGCUUUCGCCCAUUGUGCAAUAUUCCCCACUGCUGCCUCCCGUAGGAGUCUGGGCCGUGUCUCAGUUCCAGUGUGGCCGAUCAGCCUCUCAGCUCGGCUACCCAUCGUCGACUUGGUGGGCCGUUAUCCCGCCAACUAUCUAAUGGGACGCGAACCCCUCCAAUAGCGGAUUGCUCCUUUGACCUCAUCCUGAUGUCAGGUCGUGGUCUUAUGCGGUAUUAGCAACCGUUUCCGGUUGUUAUCCCCCUCUACUGGGCAGGUUGUUCACGCGUUACUCACCCGUUCGCCACUAAGUUAUCAACCGAAAUCAAUAACUCCGUUCGACUUGCAUGUGUUAGGCACGCCGCCAGCGUUCGUCCUGAGCCAUGAUCAAACUCUGA
This 483-nucleotide ribosomal RNA is filed under the name uncultured bacterium. RNAcentral describes it as "partial 16S ribosomal RNA". The record is from RNAcentral.